UAACACAUGCAAGUCGAGGGGCAGCAUGGUCUUUGCUUGCUAAGGCCGAUGGCGACCGGCGCACGGGUGAGUAACACGUAUCCAACCUGCCGUCUACUCUUGGACAGCCUUCUGAAAGGAAGAUUAAUACAAGAUGGCAUCAUGAGUCCGCAUGUUCACAUGAUUAAAGGUAUUCCGGUAGACGAUGGGGAUGCGUUCCAUUAGAUAGUAGGCGGGGUAACGGCCCACCUAGUCUUCGAUGGAUAGGGGUUCUGAGAGGAAGGUCCCCCACAUUGGAACUGAGACACGGUCCAAACUCCUACGGGAGGCAGCAGUGAGGAAUAUUGGUCAAUGGGCGAGAGCCUGAACCAGCCAAGUAGCGUGAAGGAUGACUGCCCUAUGGGUUGUAAACUUCUUUUAUAAAGGAAUAAAGUCGGGUAUGGAUACCCGUUUGCAUGUACUUUAUGAAUAAGGAUCGGCUAACUCCGUGCCAGCAGCCGCGGUAAUACGGAGGAUCCGAGCGUUAUCCGGAUUUAUUGGGUUUAAAGGGAGCGUAGAUGGAUGUUUAAGUCAGUUGUGAAGGUUUGCGGCUCAACCGUAAAAUUGCAGUUGAUACUGGAUAUCUUGAGUGCAGUUGAGGCAGGCGGAACUCGUGGUGUAGCGGUGAAAUGCUUAGAUAUCACGAAGAACUCCGAUUGCGAAGGCAGCCUGCUAAGCUGCAACUGACAUUGAGGCUCGAAAGUGUGGGUAUCAAACAGGAUUAGAUACCCUGGUAGUCCACACGGUAAACGAUGAAUACUCGCUGUUUGCGAUAUACAGCAAGCGGCCAAGCGAAAGCGUUAAGUAUUCCACCUGGGGAGUACGCCGGCAACGGUGAAACUCAAAGGAAUUGACGGGGGCCCGCACAAGCGGAGGAACAUGUGGUUUAAUUCGAUGAUACGCGAGGAACCUUACCCGGGCUUAAAUUGCAGAUGAAUUACGGUGAAAGCCGUAAGCCGCAAGGCAUCUGUGAAGGUGCUGCAUGGUUGUCGUCAGCUCGUGCCGUGAGGUGUCGGCUUAAGUGCCAUAACGAGCGCAACCCUUGUUGUCAGUUACUAACAGGUUCCGCUGAGGACUCUGACAAGACUGCCAUCGUAAGAUGUGAGGAAGGUGGGGAUGACGUCAAAUCAGCACGGCCCUUACGUCCGGGGCUACACACGUGUUACAAUGGGGGGUACAGAGGGCCGCUACCACGCGAGUGGAUGCCAAUCCCAAAAACCUCUCUCAGUUCGGACUGGAGUCUGCAACCCGACUCCACGAAGCUGGAUUCGCUAGUAAUCGCGCAUCAGCCACGGCGCGGUGAAUACGUUCCCGGGCCUUGUACACACCGCCCGUCAAGCCAUGGGAGCCGGGGGUACCUGAAGUGCGUAACCGCGAGGAGCGCCCUAGGGUAAAACUGGUGACUGGGGCU
RNAcentral lists this ribosomal RNA (1429 nucleotides) under uncultured bacterium. Its description in RNAcentral is "bacterial SSU rRNA". It matches the Rfam family "Bacterial small subunit ribosomal RNA". The record is from RNAcentral.